This 64-nucleotide transfer RNA is filed under the name Cavia porcellus (domestic guinea pig). It matches the Rfam family "tRNA". From Rfam's summary of the family: Transfer RNA (tRNA) molecules are approximately 80 nucleotides in length. Their secondary structure includes four short double-helical elements and three loops (D, anti-codon, and T loops). The record is from Rfam by way of RNAcentral. Lineage: Eukaryota; Metazoa; Chordata; Mammalia; Rodentia; Caviidae.
GGGGAUUUAGCUCAGUGGCGUAAGCACCUGCCUUGCAAACAGGCGGUCAUGAGUUCAAUCCCCG